CCUACGGGAGGCAGCAGUGGGGGAUAUUGCACAAUGGGGGAAACCCUGAUGCAGCGACGCCGCGUGGGCGAAGAAGUAUUUCGGUAUGUAAAGCCCUAUCAGCAGGGGAGCAGAAAUGACGGUACCUGAGUAAGAAACACCGGCUAAAUACGUGCCAUCAGCCGCGGUCAUACGUAUGGUCCAAGCGUUAUCCGGAUUUACUGGGUGUAAAGGGAGGGCAGGCGGCACGGCAAGCCUGAUGUGAAAGCCCGGGGCCCAACCGCGGGACUGCAGUUGGAACUACCGGGCUGGAGUGGCGGAGAGGUAGGCGGAAUGCGUAGUGUAGCGGUGAAAUGCGUAGAUAUUAGGAGGAACACCAGUGGCGAAGGCGGCCUACUGGACGGUGACUGACGCUGAGGCACGAAAGCGUGGGGAGCAAACAGGAUUAGAUACCCGAGUAGUC
This 442-nucleotide ribosomal RNA is filed under the name uncultured bacterium. RNAcentral's name for it is "partial 16S ribosomal RNA". It matches the Rfam family "Bacterial small subunit ribosomal RNA", at positions 338 to 795 of the family's 1533-position model. The record is from RNAcentral.